AAUGAACGUUGGCGGCGUGGAUUAGGCAUGCAAGUCGUGCGGAAAGGCCCCGCAAGGGGUACUCGAGCGGCGGAAGGGAUAGUAAUGCGUGGAUACCUACCCUCAGGCCUGGGAUAGCUGCUGGAAACGGCAAUUAAUACCAGAUAAUGUCUCCGGACUAAAGGUGUGAUUCCGUCUGAGGAGGGGGUCCGCGUCCUAUUAGCUAGUUGGUGAGGUAACGACUCACCAAGGCGACGAUGGGUAGCGGGUGUGAGAGCACGACCCGCAUCACUGGGACUGAGAACUGCCCAGACACCUACGGGAGGCAG
This 308-nucleotide ribosomal RNA is filed under the name uncultured Planctomycetota bacterium. RNAcentral describes it as "bacterial SSU rRNA". It matches the Rfam family "Bacterial small subunit ribosomal RNA", at positions 29 to 351 of the family's 1533-position model. Lineage: Bacteria; Pseudomonadati; Planctomycetota. The record is from RNAcentral.